CUAGCGCUGUCGAGUGGCAAAUGACGCCGC
Molecule: ribosomal RNA, 30 nt
Filed under: Pristionchus sp. MJ-2005
Lineage: Eukaryota; Metazoa; Nematoda; Chromadorea; Rhabditida; Neodiplogasteridae
Description: partial 18S ribosomal RNA
Source: RNAcentral